CUGGGCCGAGGCUUCCCUAGCGAAAACCUUGUCUCCCUCCAUUUCGUCCCUUGCCUGCCUUCCCAGGAGAGACGUGGCCGAUAGAAGCCGAGUGGCAGUAACUCUAAGUUGGAGUUACACGGUGGAGAAGGAAGCACUGACUCAGACUCGGCUCUUCCCUUUCUUCCUGCCCCAGCCACUCAAGCAGGUGCUUGGGUUCUAUGCUGAUGACCUUGUUGGAGAGAUGUGAUUGGUCAGAAAAGCAGCAACUGGGCUGGGCACGGUGGCUCACACCUGUAAUCCCAGCACUUUGGGAGGCCAAGGUGGACAGAUCAUUUGAGCCCAGGAGUUCAAGACCAGCUUGGGCAACAUGGCAAAACCCCCGUCUCUACAAAAAAAAACACAAAAACUAGCCAGGCAUUGUGGUAUGCCCCUGAAGUCCCAGCUACUUGGCAGGCUGAGGCAGGAGGACGGCUUAAGCCCAGAGGUGGAGAUUGCAGUGAACCGAGAUCACGACACUGUACUCCAGCCUGGGUGACAGAGCGAGACCCCAUCUCAAAAAAUAAAUAAAUAAAAGUAAUUAAAAAAAAGAAGGAAAGAAAAAAGAAAAGCAGCUGUUGCUCGCAAGCUUCUUGGUUUGUGUUCCCUAAAUUUCCAGAUGAUAGGGGCAUUUCAGAGUACACCCUUCUUCAGUGUGUUGGUUAUCUUCCAUUCCUGCCUCCACACCUACUCUGCAUCUCCACCCUUAUCUGUGCCCCUGAGGGCUGACCUGUAUGAAUUGCAUAAUUGGGCCCUCUUGCCUUUUGGCUUCUGCUUAGAUUUGGUCAGC
This 808-nucleotide long non-coding RNA is filed under the name Homo sapiens (human). RNAcentral's name for it is "HSALNT0392331". Lineage: Eukaryota; Metazoa; Chordata; Mammalia; Primates; Hominidae. The record is from RNAcentral.